Molecule: ribosomal RNA, 1324 nt
Filed under: Rhipidia chenwenyoungi
Lineage: Eukaryota; Metazoa; Arthropoda; Insecta; Diptera; Limoniidae
Description: 16S ribosomal RNA
Rfam family: Archaeal large subunit ribosomal RNA (bases 1081-1239)
Source: RNAcentral
UAAAUUUUAUUUAUUAAAAUUAUAUAUUUUAAUUUAAGUAAUAAAAUUAAUUUUAAAUAUAAAAGUUAAAGUAUUUUUUAAAGAUAAAAUAAUUUAAAUAAUAGUUUAUUAGUAUUGUAAAAGAAAAUUGAAAUAAAAUGAAAAAUUAUUAAUUUAAAAGAAAAUUUUAUUUAUUGUACCUUGUGUAUCAGUGUUUAUUAAAUAAAAAAUAUAAAAAAUAUUUUUUUCGAAUUCAAAAGAUCUAAUUAAUUAAUUUAGUUACUGUGGCAUUAUUAUUAAAAAUAAUUAAUUAGAAAUGAAACGUUAUUCGUUUUUGAAUAUAUCUAAUUUUUUAGGAAAUAAAUUUAAUUUAGAUAUUAGAUAGUAUUAAUUUUAUUUUAUAAAUUAAUAUAGUGUUUAAUAUUAAUAUAUUAAGGGAUAAGCUUUAAUAUAAAAAUUUAUAAAAAUCUAUUAAAAUUUAUAAUAAAUGUAAGCUUAUAAAUUGUUAUCUAUUUAUAAAAAUGUUAUAAUGUAUAUAAUAAAUAAUAUAAUUUUAUUUUUUUUUUAAAUUUUUUACUAAAAUAUUAAUUUUAUUUUAAAAAAUUAAAGAAUAAUGAUAAAAUAAGUAUAAUUUAAUAAAUAUAAAUAAAAGGUUAUUGAAAGGUUUUUAUAAUUAAUUCGGCAAAUUUAAUAUUCGCCUGUUUAUCAAAAACAUGUCUUUUUGAAAUAUGUAUAUAAAGUCUAACCUGCCCACUGAGUAUUUAAAGGGCCGCAGUAUUUUGACUGUGCAAAGGUAGCAUAAUCAUUAGUUUUUUAAUUGAAAGCUUGUAUGAAUGGUUGGAUAAAAUAUUUACUGUCUCAUAAAAAUUUAUUUUAGAAAUUAAUUUUUUUGUUAAAAAGCAAAAAUAAAAUUAAAGGACGAGAAGACCCUAUAGAGCUUUAUAAUUUUAUUAUUUAAUUUUUAAAGAUUAAUUUAAAUUUUAUAAAAAAAAUUAUUUUGUUGGGGUGACAAUAAAAUUUAAUUAACUUUUAUUAUUUUUUUACAUUGAUUUAUGAAUACUUGAUCCAUUUUUAAUGAUUAAAAAAUUAAGUUACCUUAGGGAUAACAGCGUAAUUUUUUUAGAGAGUUCAUAUCGAUAAAAAAGAUUGCGACCUCGAUGUUGGAUUAAGAAUUAUUUUAGGUGUAGCAGUUUAAAAUUUAGGUCUGUUCGACCUUUAAAUUCUUACAUGAUCUGAGUUCAGACCGGUGUAAGCCAGGUUGGUUUCUAUCCUUAAUUAAAUAAAAUAUUUUAGUACGAAAGGACCAAAUAUUUAAAAUAUAAAUUUUUAUUAUUAGAAAAUUAUU